AGUGAACGCUGGCGGUAGGCCUAACACAUGCAAGUCGAACGGCAGCACAGUAAGAGCUUGCUCUUACGGGUGGCGAGUGGCGGACGGGUGACGAAUACAUCGGAAUCUACUUUUUCGUGGGGGAUAACGUAGGGAAACUUACGCUAAUACCGCAUAUGACCUACGGGUGAAAGCAGGGGAUCUUCGGACCUUUCGCGAUUGAAUGAGCCGAUUUCGGAUUAGCUAGUUGGCGGGGUAAAGGCCCACCAAGGCGACGAUCCGUAGCUGGUCUGAGAGGAUGGUCGGCCACACUGGAACUGAGACACGGUCCAGACUCCUACGGGAGGCAGCAGUGGGGAAUAUUGGGCAAUGGGCGCAAGCCUGAUCCAGCCAUACCGCGUGAGUGAAGAAGGCCUUCGGGUUGUAAAGCCCUUUUGUUGGGAAAGAAAAGCAGCAGGUUAAUACCCCGCUGUUCUGACGGUACCCAAAGAAUAAGCACCGGCUAACUUCGUG
Molecule: ribosomal RNA, 492 nt
Filed under: uncultured bacterium
Lineage: Bacteria
Description: partial 16S ribosomal RNA
Rfam family: Bacterial small subunit ribosomal RNA
Source: RNAcentral